GUGAGGAAUUUUCCGCAAUGGGCGAAAGCCUGACGGAGCAAUGCCGCGUGAAGGAUGAAGGCCUAUGGGUUGUAAACUUCUUUUCUUAGAGAAGAAUAUUGACGGUAUCUGAGGAAUAAGCAUCGGCUAACUCUGUGCCAGCAGCCGCGGUAAGACAGAGGAUGCAAGCGUUAUCCGGCAUGAUUGGGCGUAAAGCGUCUGUAGGUGGCUUCAAAAGUCUCCUGUCAAAGAUCAGGGCUUAACCCUGGGCCGGCAGGAGAAACUCUGAGGCUAGAGUUUGAUAGAGGCAGAGGGAAUUCCCGGUGGGGCGGAGAAAUGCGUAGAGAUCAGGAGGAACAGCAAAGGCGAAAGCACUCGGCUGGGCCACAACUGACACUGAGAGACGAAAGCGAGGGGAGCAAAAGGGAUUAGAAACCCCGGUAGUCC
RNAcentral lists this ribosomal RNA (426 nucleotides) under uncultured bacterium. Its description in RNAcentral is "partial 16S ribosomal RNA". It matches the Rfam family "Bacterial small subunit ribosomal RNA", at positions 354 to 796 of the family's 1533-position model. The record is from RNAcentral.